Small nucleolar RNA from Rattus rattus (black rat), 128 nucleotides. RefSeq annotates it as small nucleolar RNA SNORA17. The transcript has a single exon. Lineage: Eukaryota; Metazoa; Chordata; Mammalia; Rodentia; Muridae. The record is from RefSeq and is a predicted model, not a curated record.
UCUAUCCCUAGAGGCAUUGCAGCUGUGAUUGCUGUGUCACAUGUGCAUUUGUAGGUAGCAGAGAGAAGAGAGGCUGUGUAUGUUCAGUGUUCUGACCUGUGAACAUCUGAACAUUUAGUCCUGAAAAA